RNAcentral lists this long non-coding RNA (755 nucleotides) under Pan troglodytes (chimpanzee). RNAcentral describes it as "long non-coding RNA NONPTRT017350". Lineage: Eukaryota; Metazoa; Chordata; Mammalia; Primates; Hominidae. The record is from RNAcentral.
UGGAGCUCGAUUUUCUCAUCUGCAAUCUCAGAACCUAAGGACCCAGCCAUGGAGCAGUCGGCCUUCACGGAGCAGGAUGCUGGGAGCAGGCUGGUGAUGCGUCUCCAUGAGCGGCCAGCCCUGCUGGUCAGCAGCACACCUGGACAGGUCUGCACGACCCCUGGGGCGCUUGGGGCUGGUGUGACAGGCACCUGGCCAACCUGUGUUCUCCUUACCCCUGCCAGUCCUGGAUGCCCCCACCCCGCCACGGUCUCAUUGAGAAGGGGAGGGCGUGUGAGCUGGAAGAGUGCUGUCUAGAAACAGGCCCCUGACAUUCAAUUCUCUUCUCAUAGAGGACGAAGACUUCUCUAUCUUGCUGGCAGCUUUAGAAAGUAGGUGUGUGGCUGUGGUGAGGAGCUCUGGGCUUGUCGGGGCCACUGAGCUGUGAGCUGCUUGCCUGGCCUGCAACAUGUUCCUGUCCCGGGCUACUGGGUGGGGCAGCCUGGGGACAGUAGGGGUGGUGGAGGUGGGCCUCCCUGAAUCCCCAUUUGGGUCAUUGAGUGACCAGGCCCUCAGGCUGAAAUGCCCCCUCCAGGAGAGUAUCUCACAGAGGCUGGGGGCCUCCCUGCCAGGGCAGUGCACUUUCUCCACCUGACCAGGUGACUCUGGCUAUUGUUUAUCUAAAAAUUUUUUUCUGAAUGGGGAUGGUGGCUCACACCUGUAAUCCUAGAACUCUGGGAGGCUGAGGCAGGCAGAUCACCUGAGGUCAGGAGUUC